CGCCAGGCUUGCCCGGCCCGCGGCUGACGUGGGAUAGAUUGCUUCCUGUCAUCGAUUCACAGGAUUAGAAAAUGCGGUGUUUGAGAGGCAGUGCAGAGCUCAGCUGGGCCGUCUCCCUUAGGCUGUAGGUGAGCAUACUGAGACUGGAGAGGUGGAGUGGUUAUCCCAGCGGCUUCUAGAUGCUAACAGAGUUCAAGGACUUGGAGCCCACUGGGAAAUACGCAGUUAUGUCCCCAUUCGUCUCUUCCUAGGCCCCAACUCUCAAACUCCAAAUCAGAUUUCUACCCUCUCAGGACGACUCUGUGGAUUAUGGGAAUUUCCUUGUGGAUUCACACUGAAGCAUCUCAUCACGCCCGUCCUUUCAAGUUUGAGUUGUGGGCAUUUAUGUGGCUUCCUGCUUUGUAUUGUGCAAUGAAUCUGGAAGAUACUUUGCACACACUGAAUUACAGGUUCAGGAAAGCAGUAUAGUGUCUUGAAGUCAGACACAUCUUGAUUCAAGGCCAGUCUCUGCCAGUUCCUCUUCAAGAGGAAGAGAAGAGGGUUUGCCUUCUUUUCCUACAGGACCGUUUGUUCAAGCAGCAUUUGCUAGGACUAGUUUUCUGAAAGGAUUCAACAGACGAGGUUAAGGAGAUAUUGGAAGUACAGUCAGCAUGAGACCUGAACCUGAAUUUGGUACCAGUUCUGCCUCGUGUUAGCAGUGUAACCUUGAGUCUACCGAUUCCAUUCUCUAGGCCUCAGUUUCCUUACCAGUCGAGGUGAACUCAUCUGAAAGGGUGAGAUCAGGUCUCACCCUUGAGAAUCCUUGAGCCCUUCAAGAUGUGUCCUAAGGGAUCCUGGUUUGCACUUCAACUUGAACAAAGCUUUAGUCCAAGAAAAUUUGCCCUAACGAUGGAAUCGUACACUUUCUGCCAGGACAAUGGAGGAAAUAUUUUGAAUCCACGAGGCCUUUGGGAGACCCUGGAGGCACAGUAAGUAGUUCUGAAGAUCAGAAGUCUAAAAAUGGGUUACCAAGGCUGUGUUCCUUCUAGAAGCUGUAAGGAUGAUCCAUUUUCUUGCCGUUUCCAACUUCUACAGGCUGCUUGCAUUCCUUGCCUCGUGGUCCCACAUCACCCCCAACCUAUGCUUCUGUCAUCCCAGCUCCUCCACUGACUCUCAGCCUCCUGCCUCCCUCUCUUAAGGAAGGACCCUUGUGAUUACAUAGGGCCCACCUGGGGAAUUCAGGCUCAUUUGCACACCUCAAGAUCUUUAAUCACAUCUACAAAGUCCUUUGGCCAUGGGUGGCAGGUUGUAUUAUAUACCUCAGAAAGAGACAUGUUCUCAAUCCUAGUCCAUUCCUGUAGUUAUAAACCCACUCCAAGUAGGGCCUUUUGAAGACGUUAUUUUUAGUUAAGGUGUGGCCCAGUGGAAUGAGGUUAGGCCUUAAUCCUACUGCUGGAAGCUUUAUGAAGACAAAGCCACCUGGAGGAGAAGAAGCUGGAAGUCAAUGGAACCCAGAAGAGCAAGGAGAGGACAUGGCCAUGGGCAUAUUGCCAGGUGACACAAAAGACAAGGACCCAAGGGUUGCUGGCAGCCAGUCCCAGAACACUACAGUUUUCAGGGAAAAAGCAUUGCCUUGUUGAUGCCUUGAUUUUGGAUUUCUCCUAGCUUCAAAACCACA
RNA transcript from Choloepus didactylus (southern two-toed sloth), 1657 nucleotides. It is a transcript of the gene named ATPase H+ transporting V1 subunit E2, with no coding region annotated. The record is from RefSeq and is a predicted model, not a curated record. The transcript is spliced from 3 exons. NCBI's taxonomy places the organism in Eukaryota, Metazoa, Chordata, Mammalia, Pilosa, Megalonychidae.